RNAcentral lists this ribosomal RNA (764 nucleotides) under uncultured Streptococcus sp. RNAcentral's name for it is "bacterial SSU rRNA". It matches the Rfam family "Bacterial small subunit ribosomal RNA", at positions 28 to 776 of the family's 1533-position model. Lineage: Bacteria; Bacillati; Bacillota; Bacilli; Lactobacillales; Streptococcaceae. The record is from RNAcentral.
GACGAACGCUGGCGGCGUGCCUAAUACAUGCAAGUAGAACGCUGAAGGAGGAGCUUGCUCUUUCCAGAUGAGUUGCGAACGGGUGAGUAACGCGUAGGUAACCUGCCUGGUAGCGGGGGAUAACUAUUGGAAACGAUAGCUAAUACCGCAUAAGAGUAGAUAUCGCAUGAUAGCUGCUUGAAAGGUGCAAUUGCACCACUACCAGAUGGACCUGCGUUGUAUUAGCUAGUUGGUGAGGUAACGGCUCACCAAGGCAACGAUACAUAGCCGACCUGAGAGGGUGAUCGGCCACACUGGGACUGAGACACGGCCCAGACUCCUACGGGAGGCAGCAGUAGGGAAUCUUCGGCAAUGGACGGAAGUCUGACCGAGCAACGCCGCGUGAGUGAAGAAGGUUUUCGGAUCGUAAAGCUCUGUUGUAAGAGAAGAACGAGUGUGAGAGUGGAAAGUUCACACUGUGACGGUAUCUUACCAGAAAGGGACGGCUAACUACGUGCCAGCAGCCGCGGUAAUACGUAGGUCCCGAGCGUUGUCCGGAUUUAUUGGGCGUAAAGCGAGCGCAGGCGGUUAGAUAAGUCUGAAGUUAAAGGCUGUGGCUUAACCAUAGUACGCUUUGGAAACUGUUUAACUUGAGUGCAAGAGGGGAGAGUGGAAUUCCAUGUGUAGCGGUGAAAUGCGUAGAUAUAUGGAGGAACACCGGUGGCGAAAGCGGCUCUCUGGCUUGUAACUGACGCUGAGGCUCGAAAGCGUGGGGAGCAAACAGG